AAAGUUAAGGAUUACAGAACCAAGUACAUAAACAGCUUUAAGCAAGCUGAGAUACAAACCAACAAAGUAAACAUCAAAACAGCAGAACAUAACUGCCAAAAUCAAGAAAAUCCAUCAAAACAGCAACACAAAUCAUCACAUCAAUGGGGGCCAAAUUCAAAGGAGAUAAUCAGAGGAGCUUGAGCUUGCAGCUUCAUCAACAUCAAAAAGCAGAAUUGCCACUUGUCUCAUCAUUAGUUGC
This 241-nucleotide long non-coding RNA is filed under the name Lathyrus oleraceus (garden pea). Its description in RNAcentral is "Pisum sativum (pea) long non-coding RNA (PSAT_LNC010741)". The record is from RNAcentral. Lineage: Eukaryota; Viridiplantae; Streptophyta; Magnoliopsida; Fabales; Fabaceae.